GUCUCAGUUCGGAUUGUAGUCUGCAACUCGACUACAUGAAGCUGGAAUCGCUAGUAAUCGCGGAUCAGAAUGCCGCGGUGAAUACGUUCCCGGGUCUUGUACACACCGCCCGUCACACCAUGGGAGUCGGGAAUGCCCGAAGCCAGUGACCCAAGCGAGAGCAGGGAGCUGUCGAAGGCAGGCCGGAUAACUGGGGUGAAGUCGUAACAAGGUAGC
RNAcentral lists this ribosomal RNA (216 nucleotides) under uncultured bacterium. Its description in RNAcentral is "partial 16S ribosomal RNA". It matches the Rfam family "Bacterial small subunit ribosomal RNA", at positions 1285 to 1500 of the family's 1533-position model. The record is from RNAcentral.